This 253-nucleotide ribosomal RNA is filed under the name uncultured bacterium. RNAcentral's name for it is "partial 16S ribosomal RNA". It matches the Rfam family "Bacterial small subunit ribosomal RNA", at positions 524 to 776 of the family's 1533-position model. The record is from RNAcentral.
UACGUAGGGGGCUAGCGUUGUCCGGAAUCAUUGGGCGUAAAGAGCGUGUAGGCGGUCCGGUAAGUCGGUUGUGAAAGUCGGGGGCUCAACCCUCGGAUGCCGAUCGAUACUGUCGGGCUAGAGUCCGGAAGAGGCGAGUGGAAUUCCUGGUGUAGCGGUGAAAUGCGCAGAUAUCAGGAGGAACACCAAUGGCGAAGGCAGCUCGCUGGGACGGUACUGACGCUGAGGUGCGAAAGCGUGGGGAGCAAACAGG